RNAcentral lists this ribosomal RNA (301 nucleotides) under uncultured bacterium. RNAcentral's name for it is "partial 16S ribosomal RNA". It matches the Rfam family "Bacterial small subunit ribosomal RNA", at positions 509 to 807 of the family's 1533-position model. The record is from RNAcentral.
CAGUCGCCACGGGAAUACGAAGGGUGCAAGCGUUACUCGGAAUUACUGGGCGUAAAGCGUGCGUAGGUGGUGGUUUAAGUCCGUUGUGAAAGCCCUGGGCUCAACCUGGGAAUUGCAGUGGAUACUGGGUCACUAGAGUGUGGUAGAGGAUAGUGGAAUUUCCGGUGUAGCAGUGAAAUGCGUAGAGAUCGGAAGGAACAUCUGUGGCGAAGGCGACUAUCUGGGCCAACACUGACACUGAGGCACGAAAGCGUGGGGAGCAAACAGGAUUAGAUACCCGCGUAGUCCCUGUCUCUUAUAC